Molecule: ribosomal RNA, 253 nt
Filed under: uncultured bacterium
Lineage: Bacteria
Description: partial 16S ribosomal RNA
Rfam family: Bacterial small subunit ribosomal RNA
Source: RNAcentral
UACGAAGGGGGCAAGCGUUGUCCGGAAUCAUUGGGCGUAAAGAGCGCGUAGGCGGCCCUGUAAGUCCGCUGUGAAAGUCAAGGGCUCAACCCUUGGAUGCCGGUGGAUACUGCAGGGCUAGAGUCCGGAAGAGGCGAGUGGAAUUCCUGGUGUAGCGGUGAAAUGCGCAGAUAUCAGGAGGAACACCGAUGGCGAAGGCAGCAAACUGGUCAUCAACUGACGCUGAGGCGCGAAAGCGUGGGUAGCAAACAGG